GCAAGCGUAGCUUAAUACAAAGCAUAGCACUGAAGAUGCUAAGAUGAGUCCUAAAAAACUCCGCAUGCA
RNAcentral lists this transfer RNA (69 nucleotides) under Labeo gonius (Kuria labeo). RNAcentral describes it as "tRNA-Phe". It matches the Rfam family "tRNA". Rfam says of the family: Transfer RNA (tRNA) molecules are approximately 80 nucleotides in length. Their secondary structure includes four short double-helical elements and three loops (D, anti-codon, and T loops). Lineage: Eukaryota; Metazoa; Chordata; Actinopteri; Cypriniformes; Cyprinidae. The record is from RNAcentral.